Long non-coding RNA from Hipposideros armiger (great roundleaf bat), 1266 nucleotides. RefSeq lists it as uncharacterized. The transcript has 3 exons. The record is from RefSeq and is a predicted model, not a curated record. NCBI's taxonomy places the organism in Eukaryota, Metazoa, Chordata, Mammalia, Chiroptera, Hipposideridae.
GGCGGAGGUGGGAGGGGGGGCGCCUCAGUACCCUCGUCUGUGAAAUGGGGCUUUGGGUUCAGGCGCUCCCACAGGUCCGUUGGACCCCCCCAAGAGUGUCAUUCUGAACAGAGAAGUGCGGCUAGAGGGAGCCGAGAGGAAGCAGAGGAAGGGACGCGCUUGGAGGGACUGGACACGGCGCCGUGGGACCCAAGGGCUCAGCCGCGGACGCCUCUGGGAGCGCAGCGCCUGGGCGGUGCGUCCACACUCUCGGUGUCCGGUGUCCGGCGGGCCCAACCUUGACCAGCACCGGCGCUCAGCACUUAUCUGCGCGCUCGAAUCCCGGCGGCCUUGGAGGUUCAACCCGACAGCUUGGUGAUAUUCUCGCCGCUGCCACCCCCUCGGAACACGUCCGGGAGCUGGGAAUCCUCCGAGCGACACCGGUUCCCGAAGCAGGACAGGGACGAAAUGGACCGACGGAGUUGAUAGUUGUUUUUAUACCCGUCCGGAGCUGCACCCCGAGCUGUCAUAAUUUUUUCAGAAGGCCUGAUGAUGAGGUGCUUCCAGACACUUAUUAACUGAUCGAUUCCUGGAACAUUUCUCCACUUCCUGGGCCUGUUUCCUCAUCUGUGAAACAGGGGAGGUGUCUCUACCUGGACUGGGGUGUGGACUUAUAUGAGAUGACAAAGGCAAACCAAUAGAGAGGUGAGGUUAAUACAGUGUGUGGAAAGCAAUGUUAGUGAUAGCCGCAAAGCUCUGGGUGUGUGAUCAACUGCCCCGGGGAAGUUCCAAUAGGACAUCAAACUAGAGGGCAUCUCUGAACAGCUGAGCCACCAAGCCAAGAUAAAAGCUGAGAUUUGCUGAGUGGCUAGCUAUAUGCUGGGCGCUUUCCAAAGAAAAAUUAACAGUAAAUCCUCAAACCAUUAUGGUCUCGUUGAAACCUCACAACUUUUCACAGAGGGAAAGGACACGCGGCUAGCAGCUGGAGCACGAUGGAUGGAGGCAGGAUGCAAACUCAGACCUGUCGGCUUUGCAGCGUGGCCCUUCCCAUUCCAUUUCUCCAGGUCCAAAGUGAAGGCAUAGCAGUGGGAAAGGCACAAGGAGUUCUCUCUGGCAAGAGGGCAGUGUCUGGCUCUGAUGGUUUCACAUCUUAAAUUUCAUACUGUCUCCCAGAGCUUCCUGAUCAAGGUCAAAUUCCGUAGCUUAGCACAAGGGGUCCUAGAGUAAGAGAUCUAACCCAAGAUGGUCAUGGAUCCUUUGAGAAUACAGUCAAGUGUUAUGCUUCCA